RNAcentral lists this ribosomal RNA (465 nucleotides) under uncultured bacterium. Its description in RNAcentral is "partial 16S ribosomal RNA". It matches the Rfam family "Bacterial small subunit ribosomal RNA", at positions 338 to 795 of the family's 1533-position model. The record is from RNAcentral.
CCUACGUGAGGCAGCAGUGGGGAAUAUUGCGCAAUGGGCGAAAGCCUGACGCAGCGACGCCGCGUGAGUGAUGAAGGUCUUCGGAUCGUAAACCUCUGUCAGCAGGGAAGAACGGUCACUGUGCUAAUCAUCAGUGACUUGACGGUACCUGCACAGGAAGCACCGGCUAACUCCGUGCCAGCAGCCGCGGUAAUACGGAGGUGGCGAGCGUUAUUCGGAAUUACUGGGCGUAAAGCGCUCGUAGGCGGUAUGUCAAGUCAAGGGUGAAAGCCCCGCGCUCAACGUGGGAAUUGCCUUUGAAACUGGCAAACUGGAGUGUGGGAGAGGAUAGUGGAAGUCCAGGUGUAGGAGUGAAAUGCGUAGAGAGAUGGAGGAACAUCAGUGGCGAAGGCGACUAUCUGGCACAUAACUGACGCUGAGGAGCGAAAGCGUGGGUAGUAAACAGGAUUAGAUACCCUAGUAGUC